Molecule: long non-coding RNA, 1746 nt
Organism: Pieris rapae (cabbage white)
Lineage: Eukaryota; Metazoa; Arthropoda; Insecta; Lepidoptera; Pieridae
Exons: 2
Source: RefSeq, a predicted model, not a curated record
AUCGCGCUGGUGGAAUUCAACACUGACAAUAAUAUUUUACCCAGUGGCCAGUAUUAAACAAAUACUAAACCUCUGGUCACCCUCAAAUUUAUCUGUAAUGGCAACGACUCUCUUUUGCACAUAUUCCAAAGGUAUCAACAGGGCUUUAUUCCUCUUCUCGGUCUCACAAAAAUCCUUCACCUUCAAAAACAUCUCCCGAGUUGCACUUAUUUACGCACCAUAAUCACUCUGAUUCUUGUACAAACGCACCCUUCAAAAAGGUGGCGGAGUUGUCUAAUUUAUUUCCAGGGUUCCCGUCGGCAAUGAGUGGUAGGCGGACUAUACCUAAGCUCCGUACCAAACAUUGUUUAAAACAAUCUAAAAUUGGGAUCUCUUAGUAAAAUAAUAUAGAAUGCUAAAUAUAUUGCAGUUUAAUAAUUAUUGAAAUUUAGUUUGUAUGCGUAUACUUAAAAUUGUACACCGCGUUCAGCUUGUUUAAGGUGAAUUAAAAUAUUUAUGUACAUUAAGUGAUAUACAUUUAUGUAUAGAUGUAAAAUAUUUACAGGCUGUAAUAGACGCAAAUAUCUUCUCGACUCUAAUAGACAUUCUGAAGCUAGCCGAGUUCAAAACAAGGAAGGAAGCUACUAACGCUAUCAGUGGGAGAACUACUGCGCAGAUUACAGCAUAAUGCGACUCAGUGGCGCACAAUGCCGAAUUAUGCUGAAGCUUAAUUGGAACGUGAAUUAGUUUUCAAAUGCAUCAGCAGAGUGUGCUAAGUUCAGUGUUGGAUCUUUAAAAAUGAUUUCUAAAUAAAUUAUACACUUUUUAAUUGAAUCAUCUUAUCCAAAUGAUAGUGAUGACGAUGAUUUAUCGAGUGCUCCGAGUUUAAAUAAAUUUAUUAUCAAGUGUCAAUUAGUUCAUUAUCAAAUUAGUUUAUUAUCAAGUGAUAUAUUUAUUGGAUAUAUAUAUAUGUUAAUGAAACAAAUGAAUUAUUUGAGCCAUUAUAAUAUAUUUUUAGCAGUUUGAAAUAACUUUGAUUAUUUCCAAAAUCUACGAUGAAACGAAAGCCUUACAAAUUUUUUAACAAUAAAUAAUAUUACUAACGAUAAUUUCGAUCAAUGCCAACUUAAAGAAUAAAACAAUAGUGAUUUUUCUGUCACUGAGUUGGUAUUGAUUGCGAGUAUCAAUCGAAAGCAUUACUUUUGAGAGUGCUCAAUUGUGCGAACCGUUGCUAUUUUUGGAACAUUCAACGUUGAGCAUUAUGCCGCAUAAUGCGCUCUAGUGCUGGAUUGGAAAACUAGAUACUACGACAAACGCUUCUCUAUACUAGGUUGCGUUGCACGUGAACAAACCUGAAGUUUUUUAAGUCUAAAUUAUCAUUCAAUAUAUUUGCAUACAUAUAUACCUAAUAUUAAUUGUAUUAGUCUUUAUCGUCGAUUGGUCUCAUUCUGAUAGUUGCGGCACCUGUCAUUAUAACUCAAUUUUUAUUACUAAAGAUUUUAUGAGAAAUUAAUAAGUAUUUCCCAGUUAUUUUAUUAUCUUACGCUAUUUAAAGUCAUGUUUGUACAGAUUGCUCCCAUUAAGUAAUCAUUAUUUUUUAUACAGCCAUAUACGUUUUUUUUUCCAAUAAAACCCCAGAAAAAAAUAAUACUUUUUAAUCAAUAAAUAUGUGUUUUUUAAAGAUAUUACACACUCAUCAUUUGUCUUGCUAAUAGCUCAGCCUUGAGCGCUGUCAAACUUCACAUAUAAAAAAUUGUUUGAAAGCAC